GCCGGGAUGAGCCUCGGUGGUCCGUGGUGCAGGCUUCAAACCUGUAGCUGACUAGCAUCAGAGCGGUUCGAUUCCGCCUUCUCGGC
This 86-nucleotide transfer RNA is filed under the name Hydatigera taeniaeformis. RNAcentral's name for it is "Taenia taeniaeformis Selenocysteine transfer RNA". It matches the Rfam family "Selenocysteine transfer RNA". The record is from Rfam by way of RNAcentral. Lineage: Eukaryota; Metazoa; Platyhelminthes; Cestoda; Cyclophyllidea; Taeniidae.